This 422-nucleotide long non-coding RNA is filed under the name Coturnix japonica (Japanese quail). RNAcentral describes it as "lncRNA (ENSCJPG00005015392.1)". The record is from RNAcentral. Lineage: Eukaryota; Metazoa; Chordata; Aves; Galliformes; Phasianidae.
CUGGAAGGAAGUGUUUGCAGUGCUUGAGCAUCUGCCUGCAGCACAGCUAGCAGUGAUUCCUCCAGAGGAAUACUGGGAGUGUGGAGCCCAGCCUGGACUCUCUGAAUUAGCCCCUGGGGGUCCUGUCUUUGCUGUAACACAUCUGGAAAAGAUCAGCCUCACAAAUUCAUGGCUCCGCCAAACGUCCUCCAUUACAAAUUUCAAGAACAAAUAAAGAAAAAAAAAAGAUUAAUCAUGGAAAAAUUACUCCAGUCAUUUUUAUACCAUAUGAAAAUAUAUAUUGAAGGAGAGCAUAUCCAAAACAUUUUUUCCUUAUGAGAUGGAGUUUUCUAAAGCUUAGCUUAAAAAGCAUUAGAAAUCCAAAGACGAGCUAUGGAAGAAGCCUACCUACCCAAUAAACAGGUGAGAACAGCAUAAGAACA